RNAcentral lists this ribosomal RNA (377 nucleotides) under uncultured bacterium. RNAcentral's name for it is "bacterial SSU rRNA". It matches the Rfam family "Bacterial small subunit ribosomal RNA", at positions 521 to 896 of the family's 1533-position model. The record is from RNAcentral.
UAAUACGAGGGGUGCAAGCGUUGCUCGGAAUUAUUGGGCGUAAAGGGCAAGUAGGUGGUCUCAUUUGUCUGGGGUGAAAGCCUUGAGCUUAACUCAAGAAGUGCCCCGGAAACGGUGAGACUCGAGUACUGGAGAGGGUCGUGGAAUUCCCGGUGUAGCGGUGAAAUGCGUAGAGAUCGGGAGGAACACCAGAGGCGAAGGCGGCGACCUGGACAGUCACUGACACUCAACUGCGAAAGCGUGGGGAGCAAACAGGAUUAGAUACCCUGGUAGUCCACGCUGUAAACGAUGGGAACUAGGUUUUGCGGGUCUUGACCCCUGCAGAACCGGAGCUAACGCAAUAAGUUCCCCGCCUGGGAAGUACGGUCGCAAGACUA